Daphnia carinata is the source of this 972-nucleotide long non-coding RNA. RefSeq lists it as uncharacterized. The record is from RefSeq and is a predicted model, not a curated record. The transcript has 4 exons. NCBI's taxonomy places the organism in Eukaryota, Metazoa, Arthropoda, Branchiopoda, Diplostraca, Daphniidae.
UUUUUUUUGAAAACAUUUUGUACAUAGAUAGAUGAUAGGUGUUUUCACGUUUCAAGGAAAUCCAUAUUGAUUCAAAUGAGCUAGUCACCAGCAAAGAAGGCGGAUCCUGUUGAGCAUGAGGCUACCAGAGAGCGCUGGUGAUGGUGCGUCAGGUAUGGCCUCCAUCUUUUGUCGGGAGUUCAGCUCGUCAGCAUGUGCCACCUACUGAGCUCACCAUCGACCACGUGAACGAAACCCACGAAGAGUAAAAUGCUGACUCUGGAACGAUGACGCACGGAGAUCACAAAAAUGGGGAUUUAUCCUACGAGAUCAUUUGCGUAUAGGAUUCGCACUACACUUAGCAUGUAAUAUAAAAGGCAGAUCCGUCCAUCAAAUGGUGAAAAGCUUUUGCUGCUUGAAAAGUGAUGUGGAAUUGCGACGAUUGAAUUCCAUGUCGAUUUCUUUUCAUCCAGUUCCACUUUACGGCAGAGCAAAGGAUUUCUGCCACUCGGCAUUUCAGCUCAAGUUUUCUGAAUAAGAUUAGCCUCACACUUACUUUUCUUUGGAACCAUUUGAUUUCGUUAUUAUCCUUAGUGUGUCCUGGCUGCUGCUAAGAUAUCAAUCGGCCACUUCUCUCCCCCAAUUUGCUCUCAGAUCUGUAGUUUCUCAGACAUGACGUCAUUAAGCCACAGUCUGAUGAAAUGUAUCGAAUUUUUUCAGAGUGAAUGAAGCGAUAGCGUACAUAACUCCUAAAGAAUUUCGUCCUUUUGGAUGAAAGGAGUUUCGCAAUCAGACGGAUGCCGUUCCUAUACUCACGAAGAUGUAGACCCCCUAUGGUCGAGCAUGAAAAUUUAUCACUAUGGACGUCCCUUCCACCCACUGGUAUUACAUCCUCAUUCUUUUUUGUUCCAGCUUCCGCUUUAUUCUUUUCUUAGUUCAAUCACUUAAAAAGAAAGCGCCCAUCUAUAUAGCCCUUGUUUCUAAGGAAACCAG